AGAGUUUGAUCMUGGCUCAGGACGAACGCUGGCGGCGUGCCUAACACAUGCAAGUCGAACGGCURAUCGAUGUCCGAAGUCCGAGAUCCGAAGUCCGAAUAUAAGUAAGAAUUUUGGGUAAGUUUAAGACUCAAAAAGAUACUUGAAUUCGGACAUCGAGCAUCGGACUUCGGACUUCGGUUGGCAGUGGCGGACGGGUGAGUAACGCGUGGGUAACCUACCCAUAAAGCCGGGACAACCCUUGGAAACGAGGGCUAAUACCGGAUAAGCUUGAGAAGUGGCAUCACUUUUUAAGGAAAGGUGGCCGAUGAGAAUGCUGCCGAUUAUGGAUGGACCCGCGUCUGAUUAGCUGGUUGGUGGGGUAAAGGCUUACCAAGGCGACGAUCAGUAGCCGGCCUGAGAGGGUGAACGGCCACACUGGGACUGAGACACGGCCCAGACUCCUACGGGAGGCAGCAGUGGGGAAUCUUCCGCAAUGGACGAAAGUCUGACGGAGCAACGCCGCGUGUAUGAUGAAGGUCUUCGGAUUGUAAAGUACUGUCUUUGGGGAAGAAUGGUGUGCUUAAAAAUAUUGAGUACAAAUGACGGUACCCAAGGAGGAAGCCCCGGCUAACUACGUGCCAGCMGCCGCGGUAAUA
This 638-nucleotide ribosomal RNA is filed under the name uncultured bacterium. Its description in RNAcentral is "SSU rRNA". It matches the Rfam family "Bacterial small subunit ribosomal RNA", at positions 8 to 525 of the family's 1533-position model. The record is from RNAcentral.